UGUAAUUAAAGAGCUGACUCAAUCAUUAUGAAUUGCUUCAUCCAUCCAAAUUCUCACAAUGCACAGCCAGGGUUUCAAUCUUCUUUUUGGAACAAAGGAAUUGGGGUCUGGAACUUUCAGAAGAUGCAGAGGAUGCACAUUCUCAAGCAGGGUCUAUGAAAGCAGUAUGAUCACACUGGCAUAAUGAUGAAACCAAGCUGCUACUUCCUCUUUGGCUCAGAAAUGUUCCUAGCUAUGAUGGGCAACAUCUUGUUUUGGUACACCUACUUCUUUCAGACCUGAAAUUCAGAAAUCUACUUUUGACCUCUGUUGUAUAUCCACUGUCACUACCAACUCUGGAUUGUUGGCAGCCAUUAUCCACACCCACUUCGUUGACAGUACAGUGAUCUUCACCCUGUCUACUGUGAAAACCGUUUUAUGGAAUCGGUGAACAGUUCCUCAUCAUUGAAAUUCUCACUGGAUUCCGUUGCUGCAUUUAUUGUUUUAUUUCUGCUGGACUAAAUGACAAAAUGGCUGUGCAGUACUCAGCUUUUGCUGUUUUAUUCAAAUGCUAUAUUCAUUUUCCCACCCUGCAGGGUCAGGAGGACUCUGUAUUCCAGUAUUCAGUUGCUUUAUUUCUCUCCAUGCCUGUUGUGCCUUUCCUUUAUAUUCUCUGAUCAGAUGAUACAUAGUCUGUGCUUUCAUGAUUAUCUUACACCAUUUCCUGGCUCUUUAUUUUACAGAUAUAUAUCAAAUACAUUUUUAUAAGAAAAAAAUAAUAAUAAAAAAAGAACAUUUCAUAAAAUGAAAGAACUUAUUUCCAUGCAACAACAAAGACUAGAAAUUCUUCAUAGCUAUUGUUUCAUAUAUGCUGACAUUGUCAGACAACAUCCAAUUUUCAACAGAUAUCAAAAUAAAACGUAUCGUGAGA
Molecule: long non-coding RNA, 910 nt
Organism: Falco peregrinus (peregrine falcon)
Lineage: Eukaryota; Metazoa; Chordata; Aves; Falconiformes; Falconidae
Exons: 4
Source: RefSeq, a predicted model, not a curated record